GCUGGGCGUGGUGGCGCAUGCCUGUAAUCCCAGCUACUUGGGAGGCUGAGGUAGGAGAAUCGCUUGAACCUGGGAGGCGGAGGUUGCAGUGAACCUAGAUCGCACCAUUGCACUCCAGCCUGGGUUACAGAGCGAGACUCCAUUUCAA
This 148-nucleotide non-coding RNA is filed under the name Chlorocebus sabaeus (green monkey). The record is from Rfam by way of RNAcentral. Lineage: Eukaryota; Metazoa; Chordata; Mammalia; Primates; Cercopithecidae.